RNAcentral lists this ribosomal RNA (446 nucleotides) under uncultured bacterium. RNAcentral's name for it is "bacterial SSU rRNA". It matches the Rfam family "Bacterial small subunit ribosomal RNA", at positions 28 to 519 of the family's 1533-position model. The record is from RNAcentral.
GACGAACGCUGGCGGCAGGCCUAACACAUGCAAGUCGAACGCCCGUAGCAAUACGGGAGUGGCAGACGGGUGAGUAACGCGUGGGGACGUGCCCUUCGGUUCGGAAUAACUCAGGGAAACUUGAGCUAAUACCGGAUACGUCCGUAAGGAGAAAGAUUUAUCGCCGAAGGAUCGGCCCGCGUCGGAUUAGCUAGUUGGUGAGGUAACGGCCCACCAAGGCGACGAUCCGUAGCUGGUCUGAGAGGANGAUCAGCCACACUGGGACUGAGACACGGCCCAGACUCCUACGGGAGGCAGCAGUGGGGAAUAUUGGACAAUGGGCGAAAGCCUGAUCCAGCCAUGCCGCGUGAGUGAAGAAGGCCUUAGGGUUGUAAAGCUCUUUCAGCGGGAAGAUAAUGACGGUACCCGCAGAAGAAGCCCCGGCUAACUUCGUGCCAGCCGCCGCU